AGGAAAUCCUCCAAAUCACGUACACCUGUACAGGCGUGCUCGUGCGCACUAGGGAAGCAGACAGCACGGCUGCACGUUGGCGCUUGCGUGUGUGUGCGUGUGGGGGCCUGAGAGAGCGGAAUGGCCGCAUUGCUGCGGAGACGGAACACUCGCAUAUGCAGAUCAACGGGAAAAAAGAGGGAAACGGCGAAAGGCGAUUCGAGCCGCCCGUGGCGCCGUUGGAGCUGCUGUGGCGGUGCCACGACGCUUUGUGUGUGCGUGUUUUUUUUUUCUUUCGCCGGCGCAGAGGCACAAAUACGUGUGCGGGCACACGUUUGUGCGUGCGCGACGUGAUUGCAUCUUGUUUCUGCACUCCUCACUCUUGAUUCUUGAGCACGUAAGGGCUCCACUUCGACGGCGCAGAGAUCCAAUGUAUUCUGUGCUAUCGCAUUCAAGGUCGAGCCUCCGCCGCAUCGGCGCAUCAGCAAGCCCCUGUGCUUGCCUGCGCAAUGAAGGCUUGCGCUCCUUGAAUCGUGUAGCUCUCCCUGUAGGGGUACCCACGACACCAUCGCAUCCGCCUGCGUGCGCGUUGACAACACAGACCUCGGCGGCGCCGCCGCAGCCCUUCCGCCUUACGCGUGGAAUGGCGGUGAAUGCUUUUUUUGCGAAGAGCGCGAGCGCCGCUCUUGCCCCCAUCGCGAAAGGGAGCAUAAAAUCCAAGAUUGCUGGAACCGUCUACGCCGUUCACUUGCAGCACCUCUUUUUGUCGCCCAUCAUCGAGGUCGGCUCUCGCGUCUACCUUGAGCGCGACAAGGGCGAGGAGUACGCCGGCACCGUAGUGGGCGGCACUGUGGUCCGCGUCAACGGUAACGGAACGUAUGGGGUGUUGCUCGACAACAACAGCUUCGACAUGGCUGUUCCCGCAGAUAUGGUGGUCUUUUCAGAAGGCCGAGGCAAGUUGGCGAGCGACGCUGAGCACCGCGAGGUGGUGGAGUGGUUGCGCAGGGCCGGCGUGGCGCGAAGGGCACACCAGGAGAGCAUUGCGUGCGCCCUUUUCCAUCGCGGCUGGCGCGCACACAGGCUGUAUUUGCUGCAGGCCUCCGACGUGCACUGCGUGACGCACAUCCCGAAAGCUGUGCGCAUGCGCGUGCUGGAUGAAGCGGAGUCCCAGAGAGACCACCAUCGCCAAAUGCGGCAGUUGCUGAAGGAGCGGGUCAUGGAGCGGGACUUCCGCUACAAGCUUACCAAGUACAGCGGUGUGGUAAGCGCGUCAAUGGCUCUCCUUGGCAUUGCCUUCGCGUUUGGGUGGAACGUAAAAAAUUCUCGCACGCAAAAGCGAGAGCAUCAGCUGAAGGUUGCCGUCAAGGCCCUCAUGCAGACGCUGAAUCAGCACCACAACACCUUGCAAGGGACCACACCGGUGGCACAACACUUUGUUCGACGCGAAAAAGAGGAGAGCGCAGUUCGCCAGGCGCUCCGUCGGCUCGAUGUGGCGCAUCCGCGAAUCAUUGUCUUUACGGGCUUUCGCGGCUGCGGCAAGAGCACCCUGUGCCGCAACGCUGUGCUGCAGGAGCGCGUGCCAGCGGUCUACGUGGAUAUCCGCGGCACCGAGGACACGCUGCGCAGCGUCGUCAAAGCACUUGGAGUGAACAGGGUGGAGGUGUGCGGCGACUUGCUGGAGUUUGUGGCAGACUCGUGUCGGACAGCAAAAGCUACCAACGGCGAGACGCCGUUGCUCGUACUAAAGUUGCGCGAGGGCAGCAACUUUCAGCGAGUGUACAACGACGCUGUCGCGCUGGGGUGCGACCGCCGUCUGUGCCACGUCGCCAUUGAGGUGCCCAUAGAGUCGCUCAGCAUGGCCACCGCAGGGCUGCCACGCCUGGACUUCUGCAUGAUUGCCAUGUUCAGUCGCGAGCAGGCGUUCGCGUACACGCAGCACACCAUGGACGCUGUCGGUCUCAACCACUUCAUCGACAUCAUCGGAACAAACAGCAAUGACUUGGACGAGCUGUUUGCGGCGGUACAUCAGCGCCGCAUCUCCGCAGUAACAUAUACGAAUGAGAAGCUGUUGAAGGCAAUGCGGCAGCUGCAGACGACGUGUGCCGGCCGCCCGCGGCUUCGUUCCGCGCUGCAGCAGCUCUCCGCUAUUCCUUACGGCGACGGACAGCACGCAGGCGGAGACGCGGCGGCGCUGCAGAGUGCUGCGCUGGGGGAGAUUGUCUUUUACGAUCCCGUCCAGGAUGCGUGGCUGUUUCGCAACAAGCUUUUCCACUCCGCCUCCCGGUGCUGCUGGCCGCAGGCGCGCGGUGAGAUGAGGAGGUGAUGGGGAAGGGCGGGUGGUGGCUCUGCGCGAGCGCGUGGGUGUCGGGUGGAUGGGAGUGUGCACUGAUGUAGGUGCACCCUCGCGUGCUGCGACUGGCACCGCCGCCCUCCUCGCCCCAUGGGGGGCACACGGGGUCGCUGCUGCUCGCAUCCCCUGCUCUUUGGUGAUGUUCCUUUUUUUUCUUGUGGUGCAGGGCCGCGGCGGUGCGGGGAUGGGCGGUGCUGCAUCCCGCCCGCACAGACACCGAGGCCGCCCCCCGCACCUCCCCCCCUGCACACACGUGUCCAUCGGCCUCGCGCAAGCGCUCCUAGGACAACGCCGACCAGAG
RNAcentral lists this unclassified non-coding RNA (2630 nucleotides) under Leishmania donovani. RNAcentral's name for it is "gene:LdHU3.34.4300(CDS-product:tuzin_putative)". Lineage: Eukaryota; Euglenozoa; Kinetoplastea; Trypanosomatida; Trypanosomatidae. The record is from RNAcentral.